UAUUUAUGAUGAUUUGCCAUGCUAAUACUGAGAUAGCUCAAGGCUGUCUUUGAGUUGAUUGAAAAGGACUGACACAUAAAAUGA
Small nucleolar RNA from Cryptotermes secundus, 84 nucleotides. Lineage: Eukaryota; Metazoa; Arthropoda; Insecta; Blattodea; Kalotermitidae. The record is from RefSeq and is a predicted model, not a curated record.